Molecule: long non-coding RNA, 1101 nt
Filed under: Diabrotica virgifera virgifera (western corn rootworm)
Lineage: Eukaryota; Metazoa; Arthropoda; Insecta; Coleoptera; Chrysomelidae
Description: uncharacterized LOC114334349
Source: RNAcentral
CAUUCCAGGAAUGUACUACCAAAGUUCUAUCAAUAUUUGAAUGUCCUGGACAUUUAGGGAACAUUCGGUGAACAUCUGUUUAAAUUAUUCCUGGAAUGUUACCAUAAGACAUUCUGUGAACAUACUACCAAUGUUCCUAUAUUUUAAGUUGCGAAAUAAUACAUACGUGUAAGAGAUACAACAUUACUUAUAACAUACCAGACAAACUAAGUGACAUUUUAGGCCUACAGUGCAAUAAUAUGUCAAAUUUAAAGAGUUUCCCAAGAUUAUAAACAUACAAAUGUAAUAAAAAUUAUUGUUCGCGAAUAUUCAAUUUGGAAUGCGAUUUUGUUAAUAAAAAAAUACUUAUAACUUAUGCAAAACCCAAGAGAGGCAUUUAUAUUUAUUUCUUUUGCGUUCAUUUUCAAAUUCGCCGUGCAUAUAUUUUUGUGCAUGGCGCUUGAGAGGGCAUCACGUGACUAAAAACGACCAACCAACGACCUCGCUUCGGCCAUCUUGGCAUCUUCAUCUUGGCGACCUUGCCUUGCCGUGGAUUGUUUUUAGUUGCUUGUAUUAUUUGUGCUUUUUAAGAAUAUUUUUUUAAUUCGGAUACUUUUAUAAUAGCUUUAAUAGUAUUAUUAACAUAGUGCAUAAAAUGGUGUCCUGUUUUUAACGCAGUUGGAGUAGCAGAAACAAAUGUAGAUAAAAAAAUCUGCAGGAAUAACGUUUCAAUUAUGACAGAAGCUCAAAACAAAUGACUGUGAAUGAAAAGCCCUAUUAAAAGCUUUCCAGAAGAUCCUGCGAAGAAGACAUGAAGUAUAGAUCAGAUUUGUUAAUAGAGGAGUAUGUUCAAAACACUUUUUAGAAAAAGAUAUUGACAGAACUUCACUUUCAUCUGUUCGUUUGAGAGACUGUGCUGUUCCAAUAGCUUAUGUCACACAGAAUCAGCUGAGAGAAGUGGUCUACAAAAAACCAGAAAGGAAACGGAAUAUGUGGCUACGAAAAGCAAAAGAAAGGUUUACAAAGCAAAUGUGACACAUUUUUUAUAAUAUUUAGGAAUGUCAGCAAAUUACAUUAAAAAAUGUAUGUAAAGAUUUUUUGCAAUAAAAAUGUUUAUAUUUA